Molecule: long non-coding RNA, 217 nt
Filed under: Lathyrus oleraceus (garden pea)
Lineage: Eukaryota; Viridiplantae; Streptophyta; Magnoliopsida; Fabales; Fabaceae
Description: Pisum sativum (pea) long non-coding RNA (PSAT_LNC016019)
Source: RNAcentral
UUAUUCUGUUCGAUUCUUCCAUGUUAGUUUGAAUUAGGUUAAACCAAUGUUAGAUUAUUGAUGUGCAUGAUGAGAUGAACCGAUUGGUGUAUUCAUUUUCAAUUUCUGUGAAAAAAGUUCAUGAUGAUGAUGAACAUGAUGAAGGAGCGAUGAACCCUAAAUAUUUCAUGUCCAGAUCGUGUUAGAUCCUGUUGCCCGUGUUUCUGCAUGUUUUCUG